AUGAGCGAUGAGUUACUGGAGUUUCUAUACUUCAUUGCAAGUAGUCAAAAGGAAGACGUUGAAAAAAUCGAUCUCAACAAGGAUGCUCUUCAAGCUAGUCGGAUGAAGGAAGGAACCAGCGAGGCCGAUCCUUACCAUAUAACUGGAAUUAACCUAUGCAAGUCCAAGAAGGAUUGGCCGGUGCUGCCGGCUGGCGUCAAGUUCGAUCCCACGGAUCAGGAGCUGAUCGAGCACCUUGAGGCCAAAGUGAGUGCUGACAGCGCGAGAUCUCACCCUCUCAUCGAUUUGUUCAUACCAACCAUCGACAGCGAGCACAGCAUAUGCUACUCCCAUCCUGAGAAACUUCUAGGUAUUACACUGAGUGGCCUAAGCAAGCAUUUCUUCCAGCGCAAAUCCAGGGCGUUCAAAAGGGGCAUGUGGACGCGUUGGAAGAUACAGUCGGAGUGUGGCAUGCACGCGAUGUGGCACAAGACCGGCAAUACCUUGCCGGUGAUGGUCAACGGCCGGCAGACGGGCAGCAAAAAGGUUCUGGUGCUGCACACCAACAAGAAGUUCGACCAGCAGAGGACCAACUGGGUGAUGCACCAGUACCACCUCGGGGACCUGGAGCAAGAGAAGGAGCGGAGCUGGUCCUCUACAAGAUUUUCUACCAGACGAACACUAGGGCCAGGACUAAAAAGAUUAUAA
RNAcentral lists this ribosomal RNA (687 nucleotides) under Triticum aestivum (bread wheat). RNAcentral describes it as "partial small subunit ribosomal RNA". Lineage: Eukaryota; Viridiplantae; Streptophyta; Magnoliopsida; Poales; Poaceae. The record is from RNAcentral.